RNAcentral lists this unclassified non-coding RNA (205 nucleotides) under Hevea brasiliensis (rubber tree). Lineage: Eukaryota; Viridiplantae; Streptophyta; Magnoliopsida; Malpighiales; Euphorbiaceae. The record is from RNAcentral.
AACAAAACAAAAACCCAAUAAAAUUCAGUUCUGAGGAAGAACAAAAAAUGGUAAAAAGCAGGAACAAAACCCAGAAAAGAGUAGCUCUUUGGAAAAUUGUAAAACAGGAAGAAGGAAUAAAGGGAAUAUAAGAGAAACACCUUUCUUUCAAGUUCCCAAGUGUAAAUGGGUAUCAAUCAAAAGCUAAAAAGAAGCUUGAUUCAAA